Molecule: ribosomal RNA, 435 nt
Filed under: uncultured bacterium
Lineage: Bacteria
Description: partial 16S ribosomal RNA
Rfam family: Bacterial small subunit ribosomal RNA
Source: RNAcentral
AGCGAACGCUGGCGGCAGGCUUAACACAUGCAAGUCGAGCGGGCAUCUUCGGAUGUCAGCGGCAGACGGGUGAGUAACACGUGGGAACGUACCCUUCGGUUCGGAACAACUCUGGGAAACUGGAGCUAAUACCGGAUACGCCCUUAUGGGGAAAGGUUUACUGCCGAAGGAUCGGCCCGCGUCUGAUUAGCUAGUUGGUGGGGUAACGGCCUACCUAGGCGACGAUCAGUAGCUGGUCUGAGAGGAUGAUCAGCCACACUGGGACUGAGACACGGCCCAGACUCCUACGGGAGGCAGCAGUGGGGAAUAUUGGACAAUGGGCGCAAGCCUGAUCCAGCCAUGCCGCGUGAGUGAUGAAGGCCUUAGGGUUGUAAAGCUCUUUUGUCCGGGACGAUAAUGACGGUACCGGAAGAAUAAGCCCCGGCUAACUUCGUG